This 262-nucleotide ribosomal RNA is filed under the name uncultured archaeon. RNAcentral's name for it is "partial 16S ribosomal RNA". It matches the Rfam family "Archaeal small subunit ribosomal RNA", at positions 748 to 1009 of the family's 1478-position model. The record is from RNAcentral.
UAGCCGUAAACGAUACUCGCUAGGUGUCGGCCACGGUGCGACCGUUGUCGGUGCCGUAGGGAAGCCGUGAAGCGAGCCACCUGGGAAGUACGGCCGCAAGGCUGAAACUUAAAGGAAUUGGCGGGGGAGCACGACAACGGGUGGAGCUUGCGGUUUAAUUUGGAUUCAACGCCGGAAAUCUUACCGGGACCGACAGCAACAUGAAGGCCAAGCUGAAGACUUUGCCGGAUUAGCUGAGAGGAGGUGCAUGGCGUAGUCGUGU